UACGUAGGGUGCAAGCGUUGUCCGGAAUUAUUGGGCGUAAAGAGCUCGUAGGCGGUUUGUCGCGUCUGCUGUGAAAACCCGAGGCUCAACCUCGAGCCUGCAGUGGGUACGGGCAGACUAGAGUGCGGUAGGGGAGAUUGGAAUUCCUGGUGUAGCGGUGGAAUGCGCAGAUAUCAGGAGGAACACCGAUGGCGAAGGCAGAUCUCUGGGCCGUAACUGACGCUGAGGAGCGAAAGCAUGGGGAGCGAACAGG
This 253-nucleotide ribosomal RNA is filed under the name uncultured bacterium. Its description in RNAcentral is "partial 16S ribosomal RNA". It matches the Rfam family "Bacterial small subunit ribosomal RNA", at positions 524 to 776 of the family's 1533-position model. The record is from RNAcentral.